This 467-nucleotide ribosomal RNA is filed under the name uncultured bacterium. Its description in RNAcentral is "partial 16S ribosomal RNA". It matches the Rfam family "Bacterial small subunit ribosomal RNA", at positions 28 to 507 of the family's 1533-position model. The record is from RNAcentral.
GACGAACGCUGGCGGAGGGAGGAACACAUGCAAGUCGAACGGAAAGGCCUCGUUCGGGGGGUACUCGAGUGGCGAACGGGUGAGUAACACGUGAGUAACCUGCCCUUGACUUUGGGAUAACUUCAGGAAACUGGGGCUAAUACCGGAUAGGAGCUCCUGCUGCAUGGUGGGGGUUGGAAAGUUUCGGCGGUUGGGGAUGGACUCGCGGCUUAUCAGCUUGUUGGUGGGGUAGUGGCUUGCCAAGGCUUUGACGGGUAGCCGGCCUGAGAGGGUGACCGGCCACAUUGGGACUGAGGUACGGCCCAGACUCCUACGGGAGGCAGCAGUGGGGAAUAUUGCACAAUGGGUGGAAGCCUGAUGCAGCAACGCCGUGUGCGGGAUGACGGCCUUCGGGUUGUAAACCGCUUUCGCUCAUGACGAAGCUUUGUGUGACGGUAGUGGGUAAAGAAGCACCGGCUAACUACGUG